AGUGAACGCUGGCGGUAGGCCUAACACAUGCAAGUCGAACGGCAGCACAGUAAGAGCUUGCUCUUACGGGUGGCGAGUGGCGGACGGGUGAGGAAUACAUCGGAAUCUACUUUUUCGUGGGGGAUAACGUAGGGAAACUUACGCUAAUACCGCAUACGACCUACGGGUGAAAGCAGGGGAUCUUCGGACCUUGCGCGAUUGAAUGAGCCGAUGUCGGAUUAGCUAGUUGGCGGGGUAAAGGCCCACCAAGGCGACGAUCUGUAGCUGGUCUGAGAGGAUGAUCAGCCACACUGGAACUGAGACACGGUCCAGACUCCUACGGGAGGCAGCAGUGGGGAAUAUUGGACAAUGGGCGCAAGCCUGAUCCAGCCAUACCGCGUGGGUGAAGAAGGCCUUCGGGUUGUAAAGCCCUUUUGUUGGGAAAGAAAAGCAGCAGGUUAAUACCCCGCUGUUCUGACGGUACCCAAAGAAUAAGCACCGGCUAACUGCGU
RNAcentral lists this ribosomal RNA (491 nucleotides) under uncultured bacterium. RNAcentral describes it as "partial 16S ribosomal RNA". It matches the Rfam family "Bacterial small subunit ribosomal RNA", at positions 29 to 506 of the family's 1533-position model. The record is from RNAcentral.